UACGGAGAGUGCGAGCGUUGUUCGGAAUCACUGGGCGUAAAGGGCGUCUAGGCGGCUUGCCAAGUCAGAUGUGAAAUCCCUCGGCUCAACCGAGGACGUGCAUCUGAAACUGGUGAGCUUGAGUAUUGGAGGGGGCAGUGGAAUUCCCGGUGUAGAGGUGAAAUUCGUAGAUAUCGGGAGGAACACCAGUGGCGAAGGCGGCUGCCUGGCCAAAUACUGACGCUGAAGCGCGAAAGCGUGGGGAGCAAACAGGAUUAGAUACCCUCGUAGUCC
This 273-nucleotide ribosomal RNA is filed under the name uncultured bacterium. RNAcentral's name for it is "partial 16S ribosomal RNA". It matches the Rfam family "Bacterial small subunit ribosomal RNA", at positions 524 to 796 of the family's 1533-position model. The record is from RNAcentral.